Long non-coding RNA from Asparagus officinalis (garden asparagus), 298 nucleotides. RefSeq lists it as uncharacterized. The record is from RefSeq and is a predicted model, not a curated record. NCBI's taxonomy places the organism in Eukaryota, Viridiplantae, Streptophyta, Magnoliopsida, Asparagales, Asparagaceae. The transcript is spliced from 3 exons.
CCGACUCCGACUCCGACCUCCUCCGCUGCUCCCUCUCAUAUCACCGCCAGCUCGCCGCCGGUCUUCAACCGCGUCGGAGCCUAGCCCGCGAGCCCCGUCGCCGCCAGUCUUCACCCUCGUCGGAUCCAAGCCCAGAUCGAGUGAUUCAAUGGAACAAGAUAAUAUUGAUGAAGCCACUGAUGAUUUAGAAGAUUCUUGUGAGGAAGAUGAAGUUCUCACUAUUGUGUGAAGUUUGAUCAAUGUUGGCAGAGCAAAUCAUAACACUAUUGGUGAGAAUUUGUGAUCAUCGUUAUGUAUC